AGCAGAGGCGACGCUGGCGACGGCGGUCAGCACGGAGCGAGCAGGAAAGCGAGGCCAUUUGAGCAGCCAAACCAAGAGUCCUGAGGAAUGUCACGAGUAGCCCAUGCAACAGAGGAAUCAAGAUGCUCUCAGACCAUAACAGGGACGAGGAGCCGCCAGGGGAGCUCUCUGAACACCAGGUGAAGGAGCAACUCGUGGAGGUGCGGCACCAGACUGUUCUUUAAUGGAAUCAUAGAGGACUAAGGUCUCAUCUGGAGAAAAUUUUAGAGGAAGGGUUACAUAUUCAUCAUGUUGUUCAGCUGACGCACAGUCUUGUAAUC
Long non-coding RNA from Penaeus chinensis, 320 nucleotides. RefSeq lists it as uncharacterized. Lineage: Eukaryota; Metazoa; Arthropoda; Malacostraca; Decapoda; Penaeidae. The record is from RefSeq and is a predicted model, not a curated record. The transcript has 3 exons.